GAUGAAGAACGUAGCGAAAUGCGAUAAGUAAUGUGAAUUGCAGAAUUCAGUGAAUCAUCGAAUCUUUGAACGCACAUUGCGCCCCCUGGUAUUCCGGGGGGCAUGCCUGUCCGAGCGUCAUUACAACCCUCAAGCUCAGCUUGGUGUCGGGCCCCGCCGCCCCGGCGGGCCCUAAAGUCAGUGGCGGUGCCGUCCGGCUCCGAGCGUAGUAAUUCUUCUCGCUCUGGAGGUCCGGUCGUGUGCUCGCCAGCAACCCCCAAUUUUUUUCAGGUUGACCUCGGAUCAGGUAGGGAUACCCGCUGAACUUAAGCAUAUCAAUAAGCGGAGGA
Molecule: unclassified non-coding RNA, 329 nt
Filed under: soil metagenome
Description: partial contains 5.8S ribosomal RNA, internal transcribed spacer 2, and large subunit ribosomal RNA
Rfam family: 5.8S ribosomal RNA (bases 1-120)
Source: RNAcentral